This 69-nucleotide transfer RNA is filed under the name marine eukaryotic metagenome. It matches the Rfam family "tRNA". From Rfam's summary of the family: Transfer RNA (tRNA) molecules are approximately 80 nucleotides in length. Their secondary structure includes four short double-helical elements and three loops (D, anti-codon, and T loops). The record is from RNAcentral.
CCAGGUAGCUCAGUCGGUAGAGCAGUGGACUGAAAAUCCUCGUGUCGGCAGUUCGAUUCUGCCCCUGGC